AUAAUGUAAGUUGUGUUUUCCCUUGAGAAGAUGUGGAAAGCGUUGCUGGACAGGGCUGUGCGUCUGCAGCAGGACAUCCAUCACUUCACUAAGCUCUAUGAUCAAAUCAUGCUGUUUGUGCUCCUGAUGAACACUACAACACAAGUGGCAAUGACAUUUCAAGGUCUCGCACCAGCUUGGGUUUAUGAAGCACUGGAGGCAGUCUUCUUGGCUUUUUAUACGAUGGAGUGUGUGUUAAAGCUCAUAAGUUUUGGCUUAAAAUACUUCAAAAGCAUGUGGAAUAUUCUGGAUUUCUCGGUCACUUUGGUAGGGUUGGUUGACCUUUUUCUGGACAGCAAACAGUAUGAUAGUGAGCGUUUCACCACUUUUUUCCACCUCCUUAAAAUGUUCAAAGUAUGUCGAGCGUUCAGGAUUUUACGCACACUGCGGUUUUUCAGUGGUCCCAAGGUCGUCAUGAAAGUAAUAGGAAAGUCUUUGAAGAUGAAUGGAAUCAUCUUCGUGCUCAUGUUUUGCAUCUUUGUCAUGUUUUCCAUUCUUUUCCGACAAAACUUAAGCAAGUCCGACCCAAAGCGAUUUGGUUCCAUGCUCAGUACCAUGUCUACACUCCUCCAGCUGUUGACACUUGAUGACUGGAUUAACGUCUAUUACACCAGUCGAGACAAUGGUGCACCCGAUGUUAUCAUCUUCAUCGUCUUGUACAUCUUGACUGAAUACUACAUCCUUUUAAGUCUGAUCUAUGCAGUGACGGUGGACACCAUCCUCAGCAACAGAAAGAACAUGGUUGGGGAACAGCCAUCGCCGAUCCAGAUGACAGAGCAAAUCAAGAGUGAGCCGACUGACGACCAGACAACCAAGGUUGCUUUCUCAGAAAACUAUUUUAUUGAAGGGAAGAACAUUCGGAUGGAACACUGUUUGAGGAUCCUGGAAGCUCUGGAGAAGAAUCAGCAGUUGUUUCGGAAACAAACCAAUUACCUUUACAGGCUGAUUGACAGCACUGAAAUGGGACCUUCCUUUUACCGUAGAAAGGAAGCAGAUGAGGAUGAACUCGAGGACAGCCAUUGAGAAGAUGGUCUCGUGUAGUAUAUUCACAAUAUAGUAUAUGUGUGGAAUAUAUUCUUUAUCUCAAUUAUAAUAUAGCAUGAAAUGCUGUCAAUGGAGAGUGAUGAGCGUGUUUAGCGUGUUUCCUGCUCUACAUCAGUAUGUGGGAAGCAUUGAUUUCAAUUGUUUGCUGUAAACUAACAGGGUGAGUAAGAAAGAAGCACUUCCAGGGACAGGACAGGGUACUCUGGUCCCAGGGCAGCUGAUACAGGAGCACUGGAACAACAUCUUAUGUGGUGACCUGCAGGAAGAAAAAGGAGUUCUGGUAAUAAGGCAGCCAAAACAAGGACCUCUGGCACAGAGAGCACUGGGACAGGCAUGACACACAUCACUAGGAGCUCAAACUCUGGCCAGGGGUUUUGGGUUGUUCAUGGCAGGAACUUUUUGGGACCUCUUGUAUUGGUGCAGCCGAGAGUACUGGGUGGUCUUUUCAGCCACUUCUGGUACUCAGAAAUCAUCACAUAGAGCACUGAGUUUGGGACAGCCAUGAGAUGCAGCCAUAACAGAAACCUCUGGAACAGCCAUGACAAGAACAUCUAAGACUGGACCGAGGCAUGGACCUCUCUGAGUGGGACCUCUGGGACCCAGCUGACUCUGCAGGGACUCGUUGUCCAGAACAAGAUUUUGAGAGAACAAGAAGCCACUACAGAAAAUUCUGGAGCACCAUGAGAAGAACCGCUGAGGAACCAGGACAGUGGAGUGCUGAGACGAGGGGGCCAUUACAUGCCUUUAAGCUGGCCACGGCAAGAACCUCUUGUGAGCAGUGCAGAAGUGAAAGUGAAAAAAGUGGAAGUGAUGUGACAUACAGCCAAGUAUGGUGACCCAUACUCAGUAUUCGUGCUCUGCAUUUAACCCAAGCAAAGUGCACCAAAUAGCAGUAAACACACACACACACCGAGCAGUGGGCGUCAUUUAUGCUGCAGCAUCCGGGGAGCAGUUGGGGGUUCAGUGCCUUGCUCAAGUGCUCCUCAGUCGUGGUAUUGCUGGCCCGAGACUCAAAACAAAAACUUUAGGGUUAGGAGUUAAACUCUCUAACAACGAGGCCAUGACUUCCCCCAGGCAGAUGGACCUUCGCCCGAACAGGGACUUGAACUCUGGACCCUCAGAUUAAAAGUCUGAUGCUCUACCUACUGAGCUAUCUGGGCUCUUGAGAUGAGAUGGGACAAGGACCUCUUGGAGUGAUGACAUCAUGUUGUGGAGGCAGUAAUGGGACAGUGACGUACACGUCCUCAAGUGAUCUUAGGCUCGGCAGCCGAAACCAUUUGUGGUGAAUGAUCUUCCAUUGGGGAAAUGUCUGGGGUUGGAGCUCCUUUUCUCCACAACUUUUAUGGAGACCUGAGACAACACACCAAACAAAACAUUAGCCUAAAAACAUUACAUUACAAAAGCAAAUGUGGCUGAUCUUAAGCUCCGUACCUGAAACCAGACCGAGCCGCUGCUUAGGUUUUUGCUGCAGGAGGCUAUAGAUCAAACGGCUGCAGAAACACAGAAGCAUUAUUUGAUUACGACCUUUAGCCUUUCUAUCUGCACUAUUCAAUUGGUAGAUCUGAUCUGGAAGAUCAUUUGUAUGAUAUGAUUCAGAUUUACUUUUUUUUUUUUUUUUUUGUGAUGAAGAGCUCACCUUUUGACAAUUCAGGCUCUGACCAAAGCUUUAGUUUGGUCUUGUGUAGAUCCUCACCAGUUGGAAAACGGCCACACGGCAUUGUGAACAAGAUGACCCCAAGAGACCACGUCACUGCAGACAUUUGCAUGGUACUUGCCCUUGACUCUGUACUCGGGAGGGUAGAAGUCAAUGCCUGGAGGAAAGAGAUUUCAUCUCAAAUGCAAGUUUGCAUUACCAAGCUAUUUUUUUCUGUCAGCUUUGAGGAAUAAUACAUACCAUACAGUGUUGUGCAGGCAGACUUUCUCAGAUCUCCACACCUAAAGUCAAUCAAUCUGACCUGCAGGGUGUCCUCCUUACUCAUGAUGAAGUUUCCCAACUUUAUGUCACUAUGGAAAAUGCCACAAGAGACAACACGUGCAUUGCCUGCCACCUGAUGUGUCGAACUAAACCUUUAUUGAGUCUGCUUCCAUGGCCCUCCAAGAAGUUCUCGCAGGUUGACGGACACUCGGGGACUAUGACAGUUGUCCCGAGUCCUGCCAGUCCAGCAGCUUUAUAACCCCUGGCAUUCUGGGUGCCUUGAUGUCCAGGAGUGACUCUAUGAGCUGCACCUCAGUCUGACCAGGGCGGAUCACCUUGAAGUGUUUUUUGGCAGCUCUAAAGAAAGAGGGCAGCCUCAAGAAGCUCUUUUUCCUCCUCCACACUCCUCUGGGCGUCUCCCACACCAACAGGAGGUUCAUCUUGGGGAUGAAGAUGUUGCUCCACCGUGUCGGUGCUGGAUGUUGGGGGUAUAACUAUGAUGGUGAUUGAUUGUACACCUCGCCAUCAUUCACUGGAAUAAUUCGAGAAAUUUGCUGUCUCACCACUCUUAAAACCGUUAACAACUCUCGUUUUAGACCACUAAUGUUACUGCAAACCCACAAAAUGUUUCAUGGAAUUUCACGUCUAUACCGCGCCAGAGACAGUUUAUAAGAGACAUGUCACUUCCUCAAUCCUCAAUACAACUAUAUAAGGAAAACCCGUAACGGCAAAGAUGGCGGUUGCGUGCACAAGUCCCGCCCCUCCCACUGGAAAGCCAAUCAUCUGCUUCUAACAGUCAAGCCGGGAAACAUUUAAGCCUAUCGUCUGGUUCCACUAACGUAUGUGCACAGUUGAGGAACCCUUGCGCAUGCGUAGUGAAGGUAUCCCGCGCUCACCAACAUUUCACCACACCUAAACCAUUCAGCUGCGCUCUGUGGCAUCAUAACACUGGCCAAAUGGGUGCUUGAGGGUACCGGUUCAUCCUCUUUUGUAGAUAAUUUCAGCAUUGACCCUGAAUUAAAUGAAACAUAAUAUAUUAGUCACUGAAGAAUUACUGAGUGCACUUUUAAAUAAACAGUUAUUGUUAGUUAAAAAAAAUAACAUAAUUAAAUUGAAAAAAAAAAAAACUUUGAUUUUAUUAAUACAUUUGUCAGAUUGAUUUUAUAGUCUCAAGCAUUCAGAGAAAAUAAAGCAGUUUUUGCUAUGGUUAAACCAUGGUUCAUUUUUUAAAUGAGAGGCUGUAGCAUUUAUAUCGCGAAAAAAGUGGCCAUGAUAUUUGAAUUGAAUGUUUGGAUUUUGACAGGCCUUUGGCGCCCUUUUUUUAGACGUUAGUAGUAAUAUGUAAUGUACAUAAUUUGUUUGUUUUGGAUUACAUUAUGUAUUUUUAACAGUGUCAUUCAAUAAAACCAUAUCAUUAUUAUUAAUUAACAAAUCGU
Molecule: RNA transcript, 4434 nt
Organism: Carassius gibelio (silver crucian carp)
Lineage: Eukaryota; Metazoa; Chordata; Actinopteri; Cypriniformes; Cyprinidae
Gene name: cation channel sperm-associated protein 1
Exons: 13
Source: RefSeq, a predicted model, not a curated record